GUCUUUUUGUAAACUAAAAUAUUAUAUGUUCAAAAAUGGAAAAAAAAACAUUAUCAUUGUACAUUUUACUAUAGCCAACACACAACCUAUUCAUAUCCCUGCUUUAUUAGGCUACAUUCUUUUCAAUACAGCUUUAUUCGCCUUUUGCUGUGUCUUUUGGCAAACACAUCCAUUAAAAUCAUCAACAUUUAUGGCCCUGCUGUUGCGGAUGGUGCAAUUGCCUUACCAGGCAGUGAAACAGCCCGACAGGAUGCUCGCUGAAACAUCUCCCUUCGUACCUCUAGCCACCUUUGGUGCACAUAUGACCAUGACACAAAGACAUAGAGUUUCUGCAAAAGAGAAAAGAAACAAUAGGCUGCAUUUCAGGGAUGCAUUUCACACUGUCAACUAAUACUACAUUUAAGCAAUGUGCAUUGCAGUGAACCUAAAAAUCUAAUUGGGCCUCUGAUUUAAUGUGUGCUUGCAAACCUGUGUUCUUUCCACUCAUGACAAAUGCACCAUCAUAUGCUUGCCCUACUAGGUGGUUUCUGUAGUCAAGGCUUCUGCAGUAUUUGUACAAUUUCGUAUCGAAUUACAAAGGACAUCUGUUCUUUCUUGCUAAUGUCUUUGGUUUCGUCGACCAUAAUGCUGAAAGCCUCACUUUGUGCAACUUCACAAAUGAUUACGGUGUGGACUAUUUCAGCCAGGCAAUCAAUUAUUUUGUUUUGUGUACUAUGCCCAAGAGAACACAGCAAGAUGAGAUGGAGAAGAUUGAGAAGCACAUCAAAUCAUCCAAAGUCAAGAACGACGCAAAGCCAUUGGCCAAGCCUGAACUUGUUUCUCUUCCAGUUGUCCCAAAUCCCCAAUUUCUCAGGAAGGGUGUUUUGCAUCCUCUUUCAAUCAACCUUUGUUGAAUGUAUCUCCUCCAUCCUCCGGAAAG
RNAcentral lists this long non-coding RNA (919 nucleotides) under Salmo trutta (river trout). RNAcentral describes it as "lncRNA (ENSSTUG00000047465.1)". The record is from RNAcentral. Lineage: Eukaryota; Metazoa; Chordata; Actinopteri; Salmoniformes; Salmonidae.